UGGGGGAUCGUCUAACGGUAGGACAGCACCCUUUGAAGGUGUAUAUGAAGGUCCGACUCCUUCUCCCCCAGCCA
This 74-nucleotide transfer RNA is filed under the name Patescibacteria group bacterium. RNAcentral describes it as "tRNA-Gln". It matches the Rfam family "tRNA". From Rfam's summary of the family: Transfer RNA (tRNA) molecules are approximately 80 nucleotides in length. Their secondary structure includes four short double-helical elements and three loops (D, anti-codon, and T loops). The record is from RNAcentral.